GAUGAACGCUGGCGGCGUGCCUAAUACAUGCAAGUCGAACGGGUGUAGCAAUACACUAGUGGCGAACGGGUGAGUAACACGUUGGUGACCUGCCCUAAAGAGGGGAAUACCACUUCGAAAGGAGUGACAAAACCGCAUAAGCUGAUGCUAGUUAGAGAGGCAUUAGUAAAAGAGCAAUCUACUUUAGGAGGGGCCCGCGGCCCAUCAGCUAGUUGGUGAGGUAAAAGCCCACCAAGGCGAAGACGGGUAGGGGACCUGAGAGGGCGAUCCCCCACAAUGGAACUGAAACACGGUCCAUACACCUGCGGGUGGCAGCAGUAGGGAAUAUUGCUUAAUGGGCGAAAGCCUGAAGCAGCAACGCCGCGUGAACGAAGAAGGCCUUCGGGUCGUAAAGUUCUUUUACGUGGGAUGAGGAAGGACAGUACCACGAGAAUAAGUCUCGGCUAACUACGUGCCAGCAGCCGCGGUAA
Molecule: ribosomal RNA, 470 nt
Filed under: uncultured bacterium
Lineage: Bacteria
Description: partial 16S ribosomal RNA
Rfam family: Bacterial small subunit ribosomal RNA
Source: RNAcentral